RNAcentral lists this transfer RNA (84 nucleotides) under Atopobacter sp. AH10. It matches the Rfam family "tRNA". From Rfam's summary of the family: Transfer RNA (tRNA) molecules are approximately 80 nucleotides in length. Their secondary structure includes four short double-helical elements and three loops (D, anti-codon, and T loops). The record is from Rfam by way of RNAcentral. Lineage: Bacteria; Bacillati; Bacillota; Bacilli; Lactobacillales; Carnobacteriaceae.
GCGGUCAUGGCGGAAUGGCAGACGCGCUAGCUUGAGGGGCUAGUGGGGAAUUUCCCCGUGGAGGUUCAAGUCCUCUUGGCCGCA